This 5394-nucleotide long non-coding RNA is filed under the name Gossypium raimondii (Peruvian cotton). RNAcentral's name for it is "long non-coding RNA (GRAI_LNC001628)". Lineage: Eukaryota; Viridiplantae; Streptophyta; Magnoliopsida; Malvales; Malvaceae. The record is from RNAcentral.
GUCUGUCUCUCUGGCAUGUUUUUAAGUUUUCUGGUUCUUUUGUUCACAACUCGUAUAGGCGGCUGCCGCUUAUCAAAACUUCUUUAAUCCUUCAGAAUAGUAUGUCCAACGGGGUUUAAUCUCUGGCCUGCAAUUAUGGANNNNNNNNNNNNNNNNNNNNNNNNNNNNNNNNNNNNNNNNNNNNNNNNNNNNNNNNNNNNNNNNNNNNNNNNNNNNNNNNNNNNNNNNNNNNNNNNNNNNNNNNNNNNNNNNNNNNNNNNNNNNNNNNNNNNNNNNNNNNNNNNNNNNNNNNNGAAUUUAUGGCAUCCUGUUACGGGCGUUCAGAUAUGAGAUUUAGGAGAAAAACGAUUUUUGUUUCAAUUUUUUCAUGUCAUGGACAUAGAAAGAGUUUUGAAGGGCUCACCAUGGACUUUUAAUAAUCACUUACUGGUUCUACACAUUGAAAAUCCCUUUAAUUUUUACACCUUUCUGGGUGCAAAUUUAUGAUAUUCCAACAGGAUUCUUUUCUGAAAAUUUGGCAAGGUAAUUAGGUGAUUUCUUAGGAAAAUUCCUGGAGUAUGAUGGCUCAGAUCUGGGGAAAGGAAAUAGGAAUUUCAUGCGAAUCAGAGUUCAAUUGGAUGUUCGUCACCCAUUAAAGAGGAAAAAACAGGUUAUGUUCUUCGGGAAUUGUUCAUACGUCAAGUUUAAUUAUGAAAGAUUGACUCUUUUCUGUUUCUAUUAUGGUUGGUUGGGUCACAAUGACUCAUUUUGUGAGGUAAAAAUGGCGUUAGGGGUAGAAGUGGUUGUAAUGGGUUGGGAUUUGUCUUUGUGAGCGCAGUCCAAAAGAGUUUGGCAAUGAACAGUGUUUUGUUAUGCGAAGAUGGAGAAGGUGAUCCAGAUGGAAGUAUUAAUGGUAACCGCAUUUCAAAAUGCAGACCAUGGGGAACGAGAAAUAAUUUGGGAUAUGGAACUGCCAUCGAUCUUGUCCUGGAGAUCAACUUGGAAGGGAAUUUGUCCUCUUCCUCACAAGGUGGAAACAUUUAUUAGCCAAACAGGCCCACUCUGCAAUGGAGCACAAUUUGGAAGAAGGGGUGUUAAUUAGAGAGGAAGGAAAAAAGAGACCUAGGGGGAGAUCGAAGAUUCGAUAACGAGAGAAGUGGUCAAUAUUGUAAUGGUAAGGAAUAGGAGAAUGUAGGACAAUACAUUUUUAUCAUCGGCGGCUGCCAAAAGGCAAAGGGACCGAACGCAAUGAAAAUUUUAAGUUGGAAUGUCCGUGGUUUGGGGAAUCCACAGACAGUUUGGAGGCUUCGACAUACGCUGAAGAAAUAUAAUUCCCAGAUGGUCUUCUUUAUGGAGACAAAGAUAAACAAGAUUCAGAUGGAAAGAGUGCAAAGAAGUUGUGGUUUUGCUAAUGGCAUUGAUGUGGACCCUAAUGGAUCUAGAGGAGGUUUGUGUUUGGCUUGGAGAGGUGAUGCUACUAUCAUGCUUCAGAAUUUUUCAAAAAGGCACAUAGACGUGAUAAUUGAAGAUCCUGAUGACGGGAAAAAAUAGAGAUAUAAAGGCUUUUAUGGCUCUCCUUAUGCACAGGAUAAGGAUGAAUCAUGGAAUCUUUUGAAAAGUCUUUGUAGCAAUGAGGAACUCCCUUGGUUAGUUUGCAGAGAUUUCAAUGAAACCAUGUAUGGUUUUGAAAAGAAAAGGGGUUGCCUAGGGAUGAAAGAAUAAUGGAAUUUCGAAAUGUUCUGGAAGAUUGUCACAUGAUGGAUGUGGGUUAUUCUGGUAAUUGGUUCACUUGGGAGAGAGGAAAUUUGUCAGAAACAAAUAUCCAAGAGCAUUUGGAUAGAGGUGUGGCUAACGAGAAUUGGAUGUCUAUGUUUUCUGAAGCUACAAUUCAUCAUCUAGUGCAUUCUUUCUCUAACUAUUGUCCUCUUUUAGUUACCACAAAAAGAGACGACAACUGGAGGAGUAAGAAAAUAUUUAAAUUUGAGGCUUGGUGGGUUUUGGAGGAGUCAUUAGAUGGUGAAAUUAAAUUCAGAUGGGAAAUGGAAAUAGAAGAUUUAUUGCAGAAAUUGGAAAGUUUAACAAAGGGUUUAGAGAGAUGGGUUGCACGCAUAUGUCAAUCUAGAAAACAAAAGGAGUUUUUAUCCUUCAAACUGUCAUAGCUGAUGGAAGCUUAAAGGAAUGAUAAUAAUUUAGCAGAGCUGAUUGAUGCGAAGCUUCAAUUGAAUUUUGAGAUUGAGAAGUAUGAACGUUACUGGGUGCAAAGAGCUCGAGUUAAUUGGCUGAAAUUUGGGGAUAGGAAUACAACCAUUUUUCAUUAUCAAGCAACACAAUGACGACGAAAAAAUUGUAUUCGGAAAUUGCAGAAUACGGCUAGAAGGGAAACGUAAAAUACACAAGACAUGGAAGAAAUUGCUAGAUCUUAUUUUUAAAAUUUAUUUUCGACUGGGGAAAGGGGACAUUGGUAUUGACCGUUGUAUUUUCGAGGAGGAUAAUUAAAGACUCACGGUGCAAUAUACAAAGGAAGAGAUUUGGGAGGCGUUUACUGGAAUGGGGCUCACAAAAGCACCUGGUGAAGACGAAUUUCCAGUUUUAUUUUAUUAAAAGUGUUUGCAUAUCAUUAGGAAAGAGGUCACAUGCUUUUGUUUACAACAUUUGAACGGAGGUAUAGAGGUUAGUUCAAUUAACACUACUCAUAUUGUGCUUCUUCCUAAAAGAGCUAAUCUACCAAUGUUACUCAUUUUCAACCCAUUAGUUUAUGCAAUGUUCUUUAUAAACUAAUGGCAAAGGUUAUUGCUAAUCGAUUUAAGGAAGUUUUGGAAAAAUACAUUGAUGGUGCACAGGGUGUUUCGAGCCAGGAAGGUUAAUUUCAGACAAUGUUUUGUUGGCAUAUGAAAUUUUACACACUCUAAAACAGAAGAAAUUAGGAAAAAGAGGGUUUAUAGCGAUAAAACUUGAAAUGAGUAAGACGUAGGAUAGAGUUGAAUGGAAUUUUGUACAGGAAAUGAUGGUGCGAAUGGGUUUUGACCCUAGCUGGAUUUAAUCUAUUAUGCAAUGUGUAUCCACAGCAUCUUAUUCAGUCGUCUUUAAUGGUCACGUUGGAGAGAACUUUCGACCAACGAGAGGACUAAGACAAGGUGAUCCCUUGAGCCCGUUUUUAUUUUUGAUAUGUGGAGAGGGCUUAUCUUGCCUUAUGAGACUGACACUAAGAGAAGGACAAUUGUAAGGGGUUAAGGCUAGCAGAAAGGGCCUACAAGUAUCGCAUUUGUUAUUUAAAGAUGAUUAUAUUUUGUUUGGAGAGUCAACUGAAAGAGGAGCUCUUUUACUGAAAGCAAUUUUAUGUGAGCAUGGAACCUAUUCGGGUCAGUGUGUCAAUUUCGGCAACUCAAUCGUUUUCUUUAGAAAUAACACACAGGAGGAAGAAAGACAAUUGGUUACUCGCAUACUCGGUGUUCGUAGUUCAAAUGACCUAGAAUGUUAUCUUGAAUUGCCUAAUAUGGUGGGCAGAAGGAAAAAAUAGUCAUUUCAAAACUUAAAGGACAGGCUUAAACAGCAGAUUGACAACUGGAGUAUUCGGUAUCUCUCUCAAGCUGGGAAAGAAGUUUUCAUUAAGGCUAUUCUUCAAGCAAUACCGACGUAUACAAUGGCCUAUUUUUUACUAGCUAAAUCCUUGUGUGUUGAUCUAGAUAGCAUUAUUGUGAGAUUUUGGUGGCAAGAGGAUUGUGGCAAAAUGGACAUUCUUUGGUGUGCUUGGAGGGAUAUUUGUACCGUAAAAGAAAAUGGUGGUUUGGGAUUUCAAAAUCUUGGGCAAUUUAAUAUUGCUUUAUUAGCCAAGCAAGGUUGGCGACUCAUUAAUUUUCUGAAUUCUUUGUUAGCAUGGGUUUUAAAAGCUAAAUACUACCCGAAUUCAGACUUUAUUAAUGCACAGAUAGGGAAUUUGCCUUCGCUUACCUGGAGGAGCGUUUGGGCAGCAAAAGGGUUACUAAAAAAUGGUCUAUGCUGUAGAGUCGGUAGGGGGAUCAAAUCUCUGUUUGGAAUGAUCGGUGGGUACCAAGAGUUGAUACAGAUAGAAUCAAUAAUAGAUCCAACAAUGCACAAAUCAAGUUAGUUUCGGACUUAAUUGAUGCUUCAAUUAGAAAUUGAAGACAUAUUUAAUAGUCAAUACCUUUCAAGCGGACAUUGCACAGAAGGUUUUGCAGAUCCCUUCGGCGGAAGCUGAACACGAUGAUUUUCAAGUCUGAUGAGGAGAACAGUCCGACGAAUUUUUAGUCAGAAGCGCUUACAAACUAUUACAAGAGGCUAACUUGGAUCCUAGUGCUAAUUUAGUACAUGUCGAAAUUAAAAACUUUUACAGAAAGCUAUGGAAUUUACAUCUUCCUUAAAAAAUUACAAUCACCAUAUGGCGUAUUUCCUGGAACUUUAUCCCUACUCUAACAAAUCUCAGAUCCAAUAGAGUGGCUACAAAUGUUUCUUGUCCUCGGUGUCGAAAUGCUGAAGAGGAUAGCAAUCAUUUUUUUCGGCAAUGCCCUACAAUAAUAGAGGUAUGGCAGAUUUUAAACCACGUGAGAAAGGGAUUUAUUGAAACGAAUUCAAAGUUACAUGGCAGAGAUAGAUGGGCUGGAAGAAAGACCGCUUACCUCAAAUGGUGGUAGAAGACAUACACAACACAAAAGGAACAUGAGAAUAGCUAUUUAUUCGACGCAACUUUCGAUGGAAGAUCUUACAGAUCGACUUCGGGUCUGGUGGUUUGGGGAGUGAUGGGCAAGGUUUUAGCCUUAAAGACUGUCCUACAUUCCAUAAUCUCGUAUCCGUUCAUGACAGAGGCACAAGCAGGUUUACAAGACGUGAAAUUAGGGAUCUCAGUGGGUUUUAACUCAGUAGACAUUAUAGGGGAUUCAAGAAUAGUCAUUAAGAAAUGCAAAUCAACAACGUUAGACAAAUCAGUUAUUGGGGAGAUUAUUCGAGACAUUCAAAGUAGAAAAAAAAAAUUUCAAGAAAUCAAUUUCCAGUUUGUUCAAAGAUCAAGAAUUGGUUAUGCCCACGAACUAGGGAAAGAAGCAUUAAGAAAAAGAGAAGAAAAGUACCUGGAGGGAGCAGCUAUUGUCCACAAUCAACGAGAACAAGAGGAAAGAUGGCCGAGACACCUAGAUUGAAGAGAUUUCCAUAAAAGGUCUACAACAAAAAAAGAUAGUAUAAAUGGAAAAUUUUUUUGAAACUAGCUAUCGAUUAAAGGGCUAGUAUAGAGAUCUGAAAAGACAACAAUUGAUGGAGACUAGAGAUGCUCAUGAAUCGGGCUCGGGCCGGACCCACAAAAAAAUUUCGGCCCGUAUCCUAAGCUCAGGCCUGGCCCGGCCUAAAAUAUGGGCCUGAGAUUUUGUCUAGGCCUGACUCGGGAAAAUAUUCCUAAGCCCGAACCCG